This 129-nucleotide ribosomal RNA is filed under the name uncultured bacterium. RNAcentral's name for it is "partial 16S ribosomal RNA". It matches the Rfam family "Bacterial small subunit ribosomal RNA", at positions 376 to 524 of the family's 1533-position model. The record is from RNAcentral.
CGCAGCCUGAUCAGCCAUGCCGCGUGAGUGAUGAAGGCCUUAGGGUUGUAAAGCUCUUUCGGCGGGGAAGAUAAUGACGGUACCCGGAGAAGAAGCCCCGGCUAACUUCGUGCCAGCAGCCACGGUAAU